Molecule: ribosomal RNA, 253 nt
Filed under: uncultured bacterium
Lineage: Bacteria
Description: partial 16S ribosomal RNA
Rfam family: Bacterial small subunit ribosomal RNA
Source: RNAcentral
UACAGAGGGUGCUAGCGUUGUUCGGAAUCAUUGGGCGUAAAGGGCGUGUAGGCGGUUUGUUAAGUCAUGUGUGAAAUCCCUCGGCUUAACCGGGGAACUGCGUCUGAUACUGGAUGGCUUGAGUUUGGGAGAGGGAUGCGGAAUUCCAGGUGUAGCGGUGAAAUGCGUAGAUAUCUGGAGGAACACCGGUGGCGAAGGCGGCAUCCUGGACCAAUACUGACACUGAGGAGCGAAAGCCAGGGGAGCAAACGGG